GGCCGAGUUUCAAGGUCAUGAUCGGGCCAUAGGAUUUGGCGAGAUUGGCUAGGGAUUGGUGGGGUUUAUCGCCGAGAGCAAGAAGGUUGCCGAUGAGUGGCAAUGGCUUUGGGCCGGGAGGGAGGUUGGUAAUUGGUCUUGUUUUUGAGAUCAUUGAAAUUAGCCAUGCAAUGGAAAGUAGAACAAUGAAGAUCCCCAACAAAUCCAUCUCUUACUACUCUUAUGAAUGGAAAUGAAGCAAUGUAAGCUUCAACUUUUGAUUAUAUAUGUAGGGAAAUUCUUUUUAACUUUUUAACAGGUAGAAUAAGUUUUGGAUUAGACAAAAUCACUUUUAUUUUCUUGUCAAAAUUUUUUUUUUUUUUUAAAGGAUACAUGUUUGACUUGUAAACGAUGCAUAAUUGUUAUUCACAUGGCUCCCAAAAUGGUUAUAAGUGACAAGUAUGGAAGGGUAUUUUUUUAUUAAAUUUAGGAGAAUAAAUACGUAAUAUAAACCGUAGGCAGGUAGAAGUUGUAGGAUUGAGAUGAUUUGUGUAUAAUCCUCCUCAAGGUAAUCUCAAUAUAACUUAAGUGAAAAUAUGCAAUACCUGUCUACAAAGUAGGAGGAUAAAGAAAUGUAUAUGAAUAUUAGAAAGUAAAAUGAUUUUCUCUUCCAUUGAUAUCUGAAUAUGAUGGAAAUUUGCCACCAUAAUUGUAUCUACUUUUUGAAACUUACUUACUUUAGUCACACAUGGAAAUAAAAUAAUAUAUAAUCUAAAAAGAAAAAAAAAAAGUGGAACCAUAACAAAAUAGCUACUCCUAUUUCUAAAACAAUAAAUACAACUUAAAAUGCAUUUAAAAUUGUGUGGAACGGAGAAAGGUCGAGAAGAAAAUUGUGGUUCAACCAUAAAAUGAAAUUAAAUGAUCUGACAAAAAUAUUUAUUAUCUUCUCUUUUGUCAUUUCAUUUUAUAUUUGUUACACAUUGAAUUUUCAACAACCAUAAUUGAAGUUACAUUGUAGAUUUCGAUUCAAUAAAUUAGUGAGAUGUAUAAAUAAUUUCUUUACCGGGUAGAUUUUAACCGUUGGAGCAAGUACGAUUAAUCGAAGAAUCGUGGCGGUUGCCAAGCUUGGAAGUGGGAAAGAAUAUGAAGGCGCAUCUCUUUACCAACCAAAUUACUUUCCUAAUUAAAGUUGUGUUAUAUUUUCAAAUUAUUUUAAUUCCGGUUCUACUAUUUGCUAUAGUUUUCCUAAUUACUUUUGUGCAUGAUGUAAACAGACCCUAGAAUAUGGCCCCUAGAUAAGUUUAUCAUAUAGUCUUUUGAGUGAAGCAUAUAUAUUUAUUUUUGAGAAUCAACAUUCAUAAAAGAAAACAUAAAACUAGUUUUUACUCAUGAAAAGGAAGGUAAAACUAGACAAGAAGUGGGAAAGCUCUCAAAGGAGAAGCCAUUGCAAGAGUGAUUCCAUACUUUUCAUCCAUAUUCAAAUCAUCAGGUCGACAACCAUCUUCAAGCUUCCAAUCAAAGAAAUGAAGAAGCGAACCCAACAUCAAAGGCAACAUUCUCAUAGCCAAUGGCAAUCCAGGGCAAAUCCUUCUUCCACCACCAAAUGGAACCAACUCAAAAUCUCUGCCUUUAAUGUCAAUGUCCAUCUCUAAGAAUCUCUCUGGCUCGAAUAUUUCAGGAUUUUUCCAUACGUUCGAAUCUCGACUCAUCGCCCAUAAAUUUACCAGCACUUGAGCGUCUUUAGGGAUUGUGAAACUUGAUAUUUCGACGUCUUGUAAUGCUUUACGAGGUAGUAGAAAAGGAGGGGAAUGAUAUCUUAAAGUUUCUUUAAUCACUGCUUGUAAAUAAGGUAGCCUUGAAAUGUCUGAUUCUUUAAUUGGGUUUCCUUUCCCUAUUACACUUCGGAUUUCUUGUUGAGCUUUUGAUAGUUUUUGUGGGUUUCUUAAUAGUUCUGCCAUUGCCCAUUGGAAAACUGAAGAAACUGUGUCGGUUCCAGCAAUGAAUAAUACCUAUAGAACAACAAUCAAAUCUUUAAUAAAAAAAAUGCUCUUACUAAAAUUUUGAUUGGUGGAAUUCAGAAAUAAAUCUACUAGAAACUUAGGAAAUAAUACAAAUUAAUGUGUAUGAAAUACAUAACAUUAUUGCUAGGAUUAUAGAAAAAUACAAGAUGAAUCCGUGGUUAUUCAUAUUCCCCUUCUAGUAUCAUAAUAAACACGAAAAACUUGAAUAUUUUUAAAAGAGAAGAAUUUUUCACUUCAAACGUCUAUGAUUAGACAAAUUCUGUGGGAUGAGAGAAAUGAAGUUGUAAAUUGGGAUGUAUUAUGUAUACAAAAGUACAUUUAAAAAGAAAACAAAAAAGAACAAAAUCAUAGAAAGAAAAGGAAAUAAAAUCAGAUUUUUUGUUUUAUUUUUUCUUGGGAUAAGCCAAGUCCAACCACAUACAGAAAAGGAAAAGAAAAUGGAAAGGCCAAUAAUUGAUCAGUGGGGCACUCAUUUCAACUCAACUAUCCAAGAAAAGAAAAAAAAUAGAAGAAAUAUUAUUUGUCGCGUGAAAAGUAAAUAUGUUGUUGAAGGCUGAAAGCUAAGAUAAUAGAUGCCAUUCAAUAUCAACCAUAUAUCUUUCCUAAUUUGAAAAGUUGUCUAAUCAAAAAUUGUCACACUCAAAUAAAUUUUUAAAAAACAAAUUUUCGAAAAUAGAAAAAAUUAUGAAAAGUAAAUAAGUAUAAUAAGUUUUGUUUUCAUGGUUUUUCUUUACCUAAAGUGUAAAUAACUUGUUUUCUUUUUCUAUUUUGGAAAAAGCCAUUUUAUGGUUGGUAAUUGAAAAGAAAUGGAUGUAUUUAGAUUUCCAUGUUUAUGGUUGGUAAUUGAAAAGAAAAGAGAAAGUUAAAAGAAUUUAUUAAGAUAGAAUUUUUAUCAUCCAAUGUGUUAUUCAUAAUUUACUUUGAAAACCUACGAAAUUCUCCAAAAUCUGUCUAUUUUGGUCCAGAAAGUUAUUAACUAAAAAUAGUAUUUAUUUUUUCUUUUUAGAUUUUAAAAUGAUUAAUAUCAAUGAAAUGAAUUAUGUGUGAGAUUUGAGAUUUGGAUUGAAUGCGCUUUUUGUUUAAGACGAAAUAUUAAGAAAAAAGUUUAACACAUAGCAAACAAUUGUGCCUAAAGAGACUACAUUGGGGGCAAAACUAUUUUCUAAACCCAAUUAGUGGAGUAAAAAUUGGAGUCAUAGCGUAUAAGACCAUAAAUUAUUCUUACAUUUUCUAUUUUAAAAUAUUUUAAUUUAUAGUAAUUUAUCAGAAAAAAGUUUACUAUAUUGAUAAAUAUUCAAUAUAUUAGUUUAUUUUGAUAAGAGACGUUUGAUUCUUAAAAAAAAAAACUCCAUCUAGGUUAUAAAUCAACAAAUUCAAACCCUAAUAAAAUCAAGUUAAACAGAAGAAUAAGUGUUUGAACUCAAAUUCCCCUAAAGAUAAAAUGAUGUUAAAAUUUGGAUUCUUAACAACAAAUUGUAAGUAAUAAUAAUAAAAGAAAAAGGAGUUGAAGUAGAUACCGCUAAUAAGUGUUCGAACUCAAUUCUCCCCAACUUGAUAUCGCUGUUUUCAUCACCAGGGUUGAGAAGAUAAUGCAAGAAAUCAUGUUUAAUCUUAUUAGAACCCCAACUUUUUUUCUGUUCAUCAAUCCGUUCAUCAAUCAUCUGCUCCAACACAUCAAAGAUCCUAUCAAAAUGAACACUUUGUUUCUUCUUAAUCCCCUGCACAUCAAAUCUCUUCAACAAUGGAAAAUAAUCUCCAAAAUUCGGUUUCGCAGCUUCUUCCAUAGCCCCUCUUACAGCCACCUUAAACUCUCUCCCAAUUUUCGAAUUCGGGUCCACAAAAUCCUCCGAGAAAAUGGUAUUCCAAAGCAAAUUCAUCGAAGUCACAAACGCCACUUUUCCAAAAUCCACUGCCUCAUCACCUUUCAAAGCACAUCUAGAUAUCUCUGUCACCAGCUCUGCCACUUGGCCUCGUCUGAGGUUCUCGUUGGCGUCGAGAAUCCGGGCAGCGAACAACUGGGUGUUGCAAAUUCGUCUGAGGUUUCGCCAGAGAGGUGAAACGGGCAUCCAUGGGAGGCCGAAAAGAUCGUGGUUGUGAGUGGUCAUGGAGUCAGGGACGGUUCUGGAGGAAAGAAAUUGGUCGUGAGUUUGGAGGACUUGUUUGGCCAUGGCGGAGGAGGAGAUGACGACGGUGGUGAUUUGGCCGAGUUUUAAGGUCAUGAUCGGACCAUAGGAUUUGGCGAGAUUGGCUAGAGAUUGGUGGGGUUUAUCACCGAGAGCAAGAAGGUUGCCGAUGAGUGGCAAUGGCUUUGGGCCGGGAGGGAGGUUGGUAAUUGGUCUUGUUUUUGAGAUCAUUGAAAUUAGCCAUGCAAUGGAGAGUAGAACAAUGAAGAUCCACAGCAAAUCCAUCUCUUACUAAUUUGU
RNAcentral lists this long non-coding RNA (4423 nucleotides) under Cucumis sativus (cucumber). Its description in RNAcentral is "long non-coding RNA (CSAT_LNC001777)". The record is from RNAcentral. Lineage: Eukaryota; Viridiplantae; Streptophyta; Magnoliopsida; Cucurbitales; Cucurbitaceae.